This is a long non-coding RNA of Prunus avium (sweet cherry), 337 nucleotides long. RefSeq lists it as uncharacterized. The record is from RefSeq and is a predicted model, not a curated record. Lineage: Eukaryota; Viridiplantae; Streptophyta; Magnoliopsida; Rosales; Rosaceae.
CUUUGUUGUGUGUGUGAGUUUGUUAGAUUGAGGUCAGGUUCAUCUAGGGUUUGGUUUGUUUGUUUGUGUGCUUGUGAAGGUGAUGGCAUCGAAACGGACCUAAAGCAGCUGAAGGACCUCUAGAAAGAUCCUCCUACUUCAUGCAGUGCUGACCCUGUUUGAAAAUCUGGAGCCUGCUUUGAGGGAAGAUAUACAGAAGCUAUGGGAUGGAGUUCCGAAGCCCAAAGCCCAUAAUUAUGUGUAGGGAACUCCUAAACAACCAACAAGUACGGAGUGUGGAUAUUUUGUGAUGCGUUAUAUGGAGGAGAUUGUUGAAGAUAAAAAUUUGGAAUUUGCA